AUGAACGCUAGCGGCAGGCUUAAUGCAUGCAAGUUGAGGGGCAGCAUGAUAUACGCGAGUAUAUUGAUGGCGACCGGCGGACGGGUGAGUAAUAGGUAGGAGACCUACCUCAUACAGGGGGAUAGCAUAGAGAAAUCUGUGGUAAUACCCCAUGAGGUUAUAUGAAUAGAGGCAUAUAAUCAAAGCAUAAGCGAUUAUGCGGUAUGAGAGGGGCCUACUGACCAUUAGCUAGUUGGUGAGGUAAGGGCUCACCAAGGCGAAGAUGGUUAGGGGUUUUGAGAGAGAGACCCCCCACAUUGGAACUGAGAGACGGUCCAGACUCCUACGGGAGGCAGCAGUAGGGAAUAUUGGGCAAUGGGCGAAAGCCUGACCCAGCCAUGCCGCGUGAAGGAAGACGGCCUUAUGGGUUGUAAACUUCUUUACUACGCGAAUAGAGGUUAGUACGAGAUACUAAUAGGAAGGUAGUGUAGUAAAAAGCACCGGCUAACUCCGUG
This 494-nucleotide ribosomal RNA is filed under the name uncultured bacterium. RNAcentral's name for it is "bacterial SSU rRNA". It matches the Rfam family "Bacterial small subunit ribosomal RNA", at positions 30 to 507 of the family's 1533-position model. The record is from RNAcentral.